This 978-nucleotide ribosomal RNA is filed under the name uncultured bacterium. RNAcentral describes it as "bacterial SSU rRNA". It matches the Rfam family "Bacterial small subunit ribosomal RNA", at positions 9 to 993 of the family's 1533-position model. The record is from RNAcentral.
GAGUUUGAUCCUGGCUCAGGAAUAACGCUGGCGGCGUGCAUAACACAUGCAAGUCGAACGAUGAAACUUAGUAGACUUCUUCGGAAAGACACUAAGCGGAUUAGUGGCGAACGGGUGAGUAACGCGUGAGUAACCUGCCUUACACAAGGGGAUAGCCUUUGGAAACGAAGAAUAAUACCCUAUAAAACCAUAAAAGCACAUGCUAGAAUGGUCAAAGUGAUAGCGGUGUAAGAUGGACUUGCGUCUGAUUAGCUAGUUGGUGAGAUAAAAGCUCACCAAGGCAACGAUCAGUAGCCGGCUUGAGAGAGUGUACGGCCACAUUGGGACUGAGACACGGCCCAGACUCCUACGGGAGGCAGCAGUGGGGAAUUUUGCACAAUGGGGGAAACCCUGAUGCAGCGACGCCGCGUGAUUUAGAAGGCCUUCGGGUUGUAAAAAUCUUUUGUAUAGGAAGAAAAUGACAGUACUAUACGAAUAAGGUCCGGCUAAUUACGUGCCAGCAGCCGCGGUAAUACGUAAGGACCGAGCGUUGUCCGGAAUCAUUGGGCGUAAAGGGUACGUAGGCGGCUAGAAAAGUUAGAAGUCAAAGGCUAUAGCUCAACUAUAGUAAGCUUCUAAAACUAUUUAGCUUGAGAAAUGGAAGGGAAAGUGGAAUUCCUAGUGUAGCGGUGGAAUGCGCAGAUAUUAGGAAGAAUACCGGUGGCGAAGGCGACUUUCUGGCCAUUAUCUGACGCUGAGGUACGAAAGCGUGGGUAGCAAACAGGAUUAGAUACCCUGGUAGUCCACGCCGUAAACGAUGAGUGUUAGGUGUCUGGAGUCAAAUCUGGGUGCCGCAGCAAACGCAUUAAACACUCCGCCUGGGGAGUACGCACGCAAGUGUGAAACUCAAAGGAAUUGACGGGGACCCGCACAAGCAGCGGAGCAUGUGGUUUAAUUCGACGCAACGCGAAGAACCUUACCAAGUCUUGACAUAUUACA